AAGUCGUAACAAGGUCUCCGUAGGUGAACCUGCGGAGGGAUCAUUAACAAAUCAAACAAACAAACACUGUGUAACUGUCUGUUCCUGGGUCGUCGUUGUCGUCGCUGCUUUGGUGGUGAUGUGCGCGCGCCCAGGACCAACAACCUACAAACUAUUGUCAGAUGUGCAUUACAAACGUAAUCAAAAACAACUUUUAACAAUGGAUCUCUUGGCUCUU
Molecule: unclassified non-coding RNA, 217 nt
Filed under: fungal sp.
Lineage: Eukaryota; Fungi
Description: partial internal transcribed spacer region
Rfam family: Eukaryotic small subunit ribosomal RNA (bases 1-46)
Source: RNAcentral